RNAcentral lists this long non-coding RNA (1568 nucleotides) under Amborella trichopoda. RNAcentral describes it as "long non-coding RNA (ATRI_LNC000725)". Lineage: Eukaryota; Viridiplantae; Streptophyta; Magnoliopsida; Amborellales; Amborellaceae. The record is from RNAcentral.
GGAAACAUGUAAAUGCAAAAGAGAAGCCCAAACUUUAUUAAUCCAUCCACCGUAUCAUUAGCCUCCCUAUAAGCAUGUUUUAAAGAGAGCCCUGGCAAGAUCCAUAACCUGUAAUCACAUGGACCUUAAUUUCCAUGGUGGCCUCGCCUCCUCCUUACACCAAAUAAUUACAUUUUGAGAGUAAAAAAACCAUCCACGUGGACGAGCAAAGCAAAAGAUGACACAACUAUCACUAUUAGUGACGAACUCGAAUUCUAACAAAACUCAGGUUCCCCAAAGAGCCAUCAAAAUUUAUUUUAAGCCAAUCUUGGAGACACCCAUCUUCCUUUCUGCAUCACUUUAACCACAUUCAAAUUAAUGAAAUAACACAUAUUCCUCCAUCUUCCUUUCUGUAUCACUUUAACGACUAUCAAAUUAAUGAGAUAACGCAUAUUCAUCGACAUUACUAGAAAUGUGGUUUCUAUACGUCGUAAGUAUCCCUAGGAUGAUGUUUUAAAGCAAAUGAGAGUGGGAUAUCAUGGAGUUUGUCAUUCUACAAUGUGUUUUAGCAGUAGAUGCUAAUGCAGUUUUUAAAUUUCUCCCAUUUUUUUUACGUCGUGGCUCUCUCUGAUUUGGGUGAUUUUUUACAUUUUUUUUCAAUACCACCAUAUAUCACAAUGCUUUGGUAAUUCGAAAAAUAUACUUCACAGGACACAUACAGAUUUUAUGUAACAUGUAAUUUAGCUCCUUUUUUUUAUUUUUUUUACCAUGUAAGAAUUUGAAAUGUAGCAUUUUUCCACUAUCAGUAACUGGGGCAAAAAAAUACAUCAAGAAACUAGUCCAUCAAAAACAAACCCAAUCAAUAAUUAUCAUAUAAGAAAAAUGGAAGCUAUUCCAAUUAAGUAUCUUUCUGGAAAACAAGAUCACAGGGAUUACAAAUAUAUUUUAAUCCCUCCAUGUUUGAAAUCCAUAUAAUAUUUAAAUUAUUAGAUAUAAAAAUAUGAAGGAGAUGAAAUAUUUUUGCAAUAACGCCUUGUAACUUUAUUAUGACUAAAUAGAUUACCAUAUUCUUUGAAAUAAAUUCCUUUCCCUAAACAUUCUUGACAUAAACUCAUUGCUAUAUUUUCUCCACUAGUGUUUUGUGUAAACGGAACCCCCACCCAAAUUUAUGAAGAUCCACUCAUGCAUGUACGUUCAUGAAAUUUCUUUGAAAACCAAUAUAGAAAGCAGAAAUGAAAAUAUCAAAGUAGAGUAAAUAUGUUGGAAUUUGAAAAAUUAAUCCUAUAUGGCUCUCUCUUAGUAACCAAGAAAAAUUUACUAAAACGGAAAGACAUAUUUCUUGCACCCCAUCAACAAAGACACCUUUUACCAUUUCAUGGGGACCUGCAAAACCAGUUAGAUGGUGGCACCAGUGACAAAUAUCUUCAGAUCAUCAACCGGAAAAUAAACCACGGCCAACAUUCUUAUAAAAUCGCCUUCGAGCCAGCAAUACAGCGUAAUAAUCGUUUCCAUGUUUCUCCACAGCUUUUUUGAACCUGUUACUCAACAUUGCAUCUCCGAGAACUAACUCGAAGAGGAACCGUCUGAAU